UGUCGUCAGCUCGUGUUGUGAAAUGUUGGGUUAAGUCCCGCAACGAGCGCAACCCUUAUCCUUUGUUGCCAGCGGUUAGGCCGGGAACUCAAAGGAGACUGCCAGUGAUAAACUGGAGGAAGGUGGGGAUGACGUCAAGUCAUCAUGGCCCUUACGACCAGGGCUACACACGUGCUACAAUGGCGCAUACAAAGAGAAGCGACCUCGCGAGAGCAAGCGGACCUCAUAAAGUGCGUCGUAGUCCGGAUUGGAGUCUGCAACUCGACUCCAUGAAGUCGGAAUCGCUAGUAAUCGUGGAUCAGAAUGCCACGGUGAAUACGUUCCCGGGCCUUGUACACACCGCCCGUCACACCAUGGGAGUGGGUUGCAAAAGAAGUAGGUAGCUUAACCUUCGGGAGGGCGCUUACCACUUUGUGAUUCAUGACUGGGGUGAAGUCGUAACAAGGUAACCGUAGGGGAACCUGC
RNAcentral lists this ribosomal RNA (465 nucleotides) under Salmonella enterica. RNAcentral describes it as "bacterial SSU rRNA". It matches the Rfam family "Bacterial small subunit ribosomal RNA", at positions 1050 to 1515 of the family's 1533-position model. RNAcentral also lists the same sequence under 4 other names. Lineage: Bacteria; Pseudomonadati; Pseudomonadota; Gammaproteobacteria; Enterobacterales; Enterobacteriaceae. The record is from RNAcentral.